GGGGAAUUUUCCGCAAUUGGGGAAUUUUCCGCAAUAGGCGCAAGCCUGACGGAGCAAGACCGCGUGCGGGAGGACGGCCUAUUGGUUGUAAACCGCUUUUGAUAGGGAAGAAGUUCUGACGGUACCUAUCGAAUCAGCAUCGGCUAACUCCGUGCCAGCAGCCGCGGUAAUACGGAGGAUGCAAGCGUUAUCCGGAAUUAUUGGGCGUAAAGCGUCCGUAGGUGGUUGUUCAAGUCUGCUGUUAAAGCGUGCGGCUUAACCGCAUAC
RNAcentral lists this ribosomal RNA (267 nucleotides) under uncultured cyanobacterium. RNAcentral's name for it is "partial 16S ribosomal RNA". It matches the Rfam family "Bacterial small subunit ribosomal RNA", at positions 335 to 620 of the family's 1533-position model. Lineage: Bacteria; Bacillati; Cyanobacteriota. The record is from RNAcentral.